RNAcentral lists this unclassified non-coding RNA (506 nucleotides) under Bombus terrestris (buff-tailed bumblebee). Its description in RNAcentral is "misc RNA ENSBTSG00005032807.1". The record is from RNAcentral. Lineage: Eukaryota; Metazoa; Arthropoda; Insecta; Hymenoptera; Apidae.
CGUGUCUCACUAUAGUGCCAACGAAGUUUUAAAAAGUUUCGUAUACUGUACAGAAAACAUUUGUAAGAAAAUUCUGUGGUAAGUGUUCAAAUACUUUGGUGAACCACCGUAGCCGAAGUAUACGAUUCAACGGUGCCGAUUACGACGCCUGCAUAUCCGUGCGAGAGUACAGAGCAAUUUUUCUCACGUGCUCGGUCGUGUAAUACGAAUUCCCAGGUUGGAUAAUGAGAGCUUCUUACGUACUUUGUGCCUUAAGAAGGGACUUCCUACGUAUAUCGAACGAAAGCGGUGCUAUAUAUUUGACCUUCGCACGGUAAUUGCAUCAACAGCGGGAAAGAAAUUGGAUUUCGGAGAAACGAAAGUGGAUCUGCUUCGGCGAUGAUUUUUAGUCGUGUUACGCUUUACGAUGCAAGAAUUUUCGACACUCAUUUGUUGCACCUUACUUGACACCUUAAUAGAAAUGUAAAUUAUUGUUCGAACUGAUUUCAGCAUCUUUGAGUUAGGGA